RNAcentral lists this ribosomal RNA (468 nucleotides) under uncultured bacterium. RNAcentral's name for it is "partial 16S ribosomal RNA". It matches the Rfam family "Bacterial small subunit ribosomal RNA", at positions 28 to 507 of the family's 1533-position model. The record is from RNAcentral.
GACGAACGCUGGCGGCGUGCUUAACACAUGCAAGUCGAACGGAAAGGCCCUGCUUUUGUGGGGUGCUCGAGUGGCGAACGGGUGAGUAACACGUGAGUAACCUGCCCUUGACUUUGGGAUAACUUCAGGAAACUGGGGCUAAUCCCGGAUAGGAGCUCCUGCUGCAUGGUGGGGGUUGGAAAGUUUCGGCGGUUGGGGAUGGACGCGCGGCUUAUCAGCUUGUUGGUGGGGUAGUGGCUUACCAAGGCUUUGACGGGUAGCCGGCCUGAGAGGGUGACCGGCCACAUGGGGACUGAGAUACGGCCCAGACUCCUACGGGAGGCAGCAGUGGGGAAUAUUGCACAAUGGGCGGAAGCCUGAUGCAGCAACGCCGCGUGCGGGAUGACGGCCUUCGGGUUGUAAACCGCUUUCGCCUGUGACGAAGCGUGAGUGACGGUAAUGGGUAAAGAAGCACCGGCUAACUACGUG